Pelobates cultripes (western spadefoot toad) is the source of this 68-nucleotide non-coding RNA. NCBI's taxonomy places the organism in Eukaryota, Metazoa, Chordata, Amphibia, Anura, Pelobatidae. The record is from the annotation of a GenBank genome assembly.
UUCAUGGCUUUCAUCAGGAUCUUAACAGCUCAAAGUUCUUUGAGCUGUUAAGAUCCUGAUGAAAGCCA